Molecule: non-coding RNA, 5422 nt
Organism: Podarcis lilfordi (Lilford's wall lizard)
Lineage: Eukaryota; Metazoa; Chordata; Lepidosauria; Squamata; Lacertidae
Source: the annotation of a GenBank genome assembly
GAGAGAGAGAGAGAGUAAGACUUUCCUCUCAUCAUUGCAGGGGCUCAGAAGCUGCCUUAAAAUUGAUGUGACAAUCAAUUUUACACCUACUGUUCAGGGGCUUCUCUGAACUUGCGCAAGAGAUGAGGGGAACAUCUUAUAAAUUUCAUCUCUAGUACUCUGCAGCCUUUGCAUACAGUUCUGGGAGCGUAAUCCAGAUGCUAUAAGCUAGCUUCUCUGCAGCUGUCGAGAAGACAAAAUUGAAGUAGCAGUAGGAAGCAUCAGCAAGACAUGUCUUGAGAACUUUAAAACUUAAAGAACUGUAGUCACUCACAGCAAAUGAUACUCUGGUAAGUUCAGAGCAAACAUGUGGAUUGGAUAGCUGCCACAGAUCCCCACAUGUGGAGGAUAUGUUAGAGAAAAAGUGGAGACCUGUGGCUAACUCAGUUGUGUUACCAGUUGUGUCACCAAACAUUCCACGUGGGGAUGUAUUUACACAAACGUUACUAUAUGCAGUUCCUGUGUUGUGUUCUCCUUGAUGAACUUAUCCACUCUAGUACUAAUGGAACAUAAAAUCAUGUCCUCUUAUUUAAUCCAGACUGUAUAAUGCUGUUUCCAAUUAAAGUGUUAUUAAAUAAGGCGGCUGAGAAGUUCAAUGCAGUAUUUACUAUUGUAGUUGGUUUUACAGAUUGCAAUGCAGCUGUCUGUAUAGAUAGUUUGGGAUUCCAGUUCCUCUGACAGAUUCUGUAAAUUUCAGAAGGAGAAACAGUUUGCAAUGCUACAAGGAUGAUACCAAUCCGCUCUCAGAAUGUGAGACAGGUCCUAUGGCUGCAUAGAGCCUUUCUAGUGUGUGACCUGACUAGGCACAAACAACAACAAAACAGGAUUUCAGCCUUCCUCAUCAACAUGUUCAAAGGGUAAGUACUAAAUUGGUACUACAAAAAUUGGUGUGCACCUACUGAAGACUUGGCUAGAUGACUUUGAAUUUUACCGCUGGCAAUCCUAGACAUGCCUGUUCAUCUGUAAACCCUGCUGAGUUCAAUCAAAUUUACUCCCGGGUAAGUAUGUAUGUAGCUUAAGUGAGCUUUAAUUAUACCCGCAUUUAUGAAACAUCAAACAGUUCUGUUACUGAUUUGGGAAGGCAUGCUUUGUCAAUAACUACUCUAAGUAUCAUCCGAGGAACUUGUAUGACCUUUUGAGUUGGGCUUUAUUUUUCAUCUCGGCAAAAUAUGCAAUAAAAUUCAUUUAGUUCAUUUAAUUAUUCAAUUAUUCAUUUAAUUUGGAACCCAGCAUAGAACAGCAUUGCUGCUUUUUUGCUUUUGGCAGGGAUAUUAUCUUCAGCUGCCAUUUAUGUUCCAGAUGAUAUGGUAAAAUUCCCCUGAGAUAAUUUUUUCUUCCUUCCUUCAAAGCCAAGAAGUUUCCUUAUAACUUCAGAUCUUUUAAUUCAUCAUUCCGUGAGCUUUAAUUUUAACAAUCCUUAAAUUGUUUCUUCCAUGACAAUUUAUGCUCCAUAAGCCAAGGACAUUCUUUUCUAAGAAGGGUAGUGGCUUUAUAUUAUAUUAGCCCUCCAUUGCUGCCAGCAGUCAGACUGUCUCAGGGAAUCCAGUGCAAUUGUGGCUUUCAGUCAAAAGUGGAAAAACCCUUGCAAAUAACAUGGGGUCCCAUUGUAUUCCUAUAAAUAGAUUCCAGAACUCCUACCAGAACAAAUCACUGAUGUGUUAUAACCAGUAUUUGUAUGGCUGGCAGUCUGAAGAUUGGGAUGGGACCAGAGCAAGUAUUAAAAAUGGAAAACAGUUGGGACUUUGAACGAAGUACUGUGGGACACCAAGAAAAGGGGAGGGGGUAGCAACUGGUGAAGUUUCCUACGCUGCCCUUUGGAGAAAAAUCAUGCAAGCAUGUUAAAACUGCUGCUCAUUUUCAAGAUGCUAUACUUGUUUGCAUUAUGUUCAUAUAAGAUGCUCACACUUCUAACACCUUGCCCAUCAGUUUACUCCAAAUGUUGUUUGUUUUGGUUAAUGUUUUCAGGGUUGACAUCAAAGGCCAGCAGGGUUAGGUUCCUGCACUUGCUAUUUUGCUCCAGCUGAGCAUUGUAUUACUUGUUAUAUUGCCCCUUAAUCUUUGCAUUGAGAACUUGUUUUAAUUAUGCCUCUCUAGAUUUGCUAGCAACAGGUCAGGGCUUACUACCCGUGCAUUGAUUGAUUGUCCCUAGGUAGAAUUCCUAUCCCUGCUUAGGCCACCCCCCACCCCACCACCGAAGCACAAAGCCCUUCUUCUGACCUUGUUUAUUGCCAUUUUGAGUUGCAGCCAGGAAAAUCUGGCCUUGCAUUAUCUCUUCACGUAAUCUGUCCCAUCACUGUACUUCAGUCAAUCAGGUUCCACCUUCCAUUCAUCCAUCUUUCCUAUAACACAAUGUCCUAACUCUACCCUCUCAAUUACACCACACAUACUGUCAAUGUUCCUGAGCCAAGGUGCAAUCAGCGGAGUCUGAAGGAAGCCACUUUCGUUGUGCAGAAGAAGCUGCAGUCCUCCAGAAGUUGCUGGAUUACAGCUCCCUCCAUCUUUGACCAGAGCCGCAGGUUCCUCAUCCCUUCUAUUCCACACCUUCUCUCUCAUUCAUACAUUUUCCAUCUGGCCCAGAAAGGGUGAAGAAUGAAUGCUAGUGGCUGUGAGGAGCAGCAGCCAUUUACUUUGAUUUGUAGCAAUGGUGUGUUGCUGUUGUUUUGUCGUUUAGUCGUGUCCGACUCUUCGUGACCCCAUGGACCAGAGCACGCCAGGCACUCCUGUCUUCCACUGCCUCCCGCAGUUUGGUCAAACUCAUGCUGGUAGCUUUGAAAACACUAUCCAACCACCUCGUCCUCUGUCGUCCCCUUCUCCUUGUGCCCUCCAUCUUUCCCAACAUCAGCGUCUUUUCCAGGGAGACUUCUCUUCUCAUGAGGUGGCCAAAGUACUGGAGCCUCAGCUUCAUGAUCUGUCCUUCCAGUGAGCACUCAGGGCUGAUUUCCUUAAGAAUGGAAAGUUCUUGUCUUCUUGCAGUCCAUGGGACUCUCAAGAGUCUCCUCCAGCACCAUAAUUCAAAAGCACAAAUUCUUCGGCGAUCAGCCUUCUUUAUGGUCCAGCUCUCACUUCCAUACAUACUACUGGGAAAACCAUAGCUUUUACUAUACGGACCUUAGCAAUGGUGUAUGUGUGGGUAAUUGCUAGGGAGAAGAGCGAGGAGUGAUCCUUUAAUAAAGGAGGGGGCCCAAGACUGAUGUAUUGCUCCAAGGUCUCCCAAACAUGGGACCUGCACUGGACUUUUCAACUGAAGUAACUGUUGCGUUGGUUUUCAAUCAUGCUGCAAUAGUAAUGUAUGAUAAGCAGCAUUUAUGUAGCACUGUAGAUGGGCAACUUCACAUACGACAGUCCUGCAAAGUAUUACAACCCGCUAUUGCAGAUUGGGAUCAAAAGAGAGUGACUUACCUAGACAUACAAUGGUUUGCAAGGGUGCCAACUUCAAUAAAAUAUUGCGGUUGGCCAGGUAAGCCCCACCCUGCAUAAUCAAUCCCACAACAUGGCACAAACACACCAUUUGAAUGGCAAUGCAUAUCAACUGGGGGCGCAGGCCCCUCCAAUAUUACAUUGCUGGGGCCCGAAGGGACCUCAGCCCCUAGGAGUUGGCUCCUAUGGUGGUUUGAUAGUUGAAACAAUUUUUAACUGCAGCUUUGCACUUCAUAGCUCCCUUCCUCUGCCACUGUAUUAUUUGCUUUAUGAAUAAUACUUCAUCUUUUAUUAUUAAAGGCCUUAUUGUUUUGCCUAAAGCAUAUUCAUUAUGUACGCCAUUUUAUGGUUCCCUGGAAGGUUCAUACUGUUUGGUAAUCAGGAGCUGUAUUUCUCUUUCCAGUACCAUGCAGUCAAAUCCCACCCCCACCCCCACCCCCCGCCUUGUAAACAUUUUGCUGUGGGAGAUGGGAACAGGAAGAUGCAACAGCAAGGAUAUUUUUCUGCUAAAUAUAACUUGCAGCUAUCUUCUCUUGCAGCGUGCAAACUAUGCAAACAAAGAGAACCCGUGGGCAAUCAGGGAACAAGGGCUCAUCACCAUGAAAACGUUCUCAUUGAACUUAUAUAAAUAAAUUGUUCUGCCUUGAUUAUUUGAAUUUGCAUUAACUCUUUCAAGUGCCUGUUCUGACUGUGUUCAAGAUAGGAUUCCCUCCAUACAUUACAUACAUUACAGUGCAUUACAAGUCAUACAGUACAAUCUCAGGGCAGACUUAAUGAAGCAUGAGAAACAUCCCACUCUCAACAAACAUAGUGCAAUUUCAUAAUGGCCUAUAGAUGGGAGUGCAUAAGUGCUCUGUAUCAUCAGGAUUGACUCAGUCAGGCUGAUUCUUUGGUCACAACCCUGCCUUCAACUGAAUAUGGAUUGUAUCCAACUAUGUUUUAUUCAUAGUAGGCCCAGGGCUUUUUUUCAGCUGGAGCUUCCCAGAACUCAGUUCUGGCACCUCUCAGGUGGGUGCCAUUGCAUUUAUAAGAGAACAAGGGAGGUGUUCAUGGUGAGUUCCAGAACCCCUUUUUCUAAAAGAAAUAGCAGUGAGUAGACCCAUUGAAAUUGAUGGAUUCAGUCAUGUCCAUUAAUUUAAUAGGGUCUGCUUUGAGUUUGAUGAAUGUUGGUUACAACUCUAUACCUCUGAAUUGGUUCUGUUGGACCAGCCUUUUUAAUGCUGUGAACCUCAAGUUGGAUUUACCAACCCUGAGCCUCAGAUACGAUUUACAACUAACAUGGGGCUCAAUGACAGUUGUUAUAAUUCAGCAGUAAACAGCAGGUUUUCCCAGGGAAGGUGGCGGGUCAAAAGAAAAACUUCUUGGACCUGUGCCUAGAAAGCGUGGAAGAAAUAGAAGAAAACAGGACAAGUGAAAGUCAUAAUUUCCUAGUUCCCUAAUUUUCUGUUCCAAUUAGCUUUGGACCUGAUGUAAGUUCAGUACUGCAAUUCCCUUGUAUCAGUGUAUUUAGUUAUUUUGUAGGUUUAUGUACUUGAGCCCUAGGUUCAACAAAAGCCUGGGCUUUUCUUGAAAACUUAAUAGCAACUUGAUCUGCUAAAAUCAGGGGAAGUACAGCAUCAGAGCCACAAUAGUAAUUUACAAAUCUCAGAUUACAAAAAUAACAUUUGCUUUCUUUUUAUUUAUAUUUUUGUAUAUAAGCUGUGAUUACAGUACUUUGUAAUUAAUGUGUACCCUGUAGCCAUGAGAUUUUAAAUAUGCUAAAUAAGGCUGAAUAUACCACUGUUUAUUCUGAGUGUUUCUACUGCAAACUUUAAGAAAAAAACUUUAUCUAUCACAGGAUUCAAAAAUAGAUUCAUGAAAACUGCUAACUCUGCCUGUUAGUGAUUCCAGUGAAAUUAUAAUGCCAGUAAAAACAGGACUGGAAAAUUUAAAUCAUUCUAUGCUGAUUAGCAGUAGUAGAUAGAUC